CAGUCGCCGCGGGAAUACGUAGGGUGCGAGCGUUAAUCGGAAUUACUGGGCGUAAAGCGUGCGCAGGCGGUUAUGUAAGACAGGUGUGAAAUCCCCGGGCUUAACCUGGGAACUGCGCUUGUGACUGCACAGCUAGAGUAUGGCAGAGGGGGGUGGAAUUCCGCGUGUAGCAGUGAAAUGCGUAGAUAUGCGGAGGAACACCGAUGGCGAAGGCAAUCCCCUGGGCCUGCACUGACGCUCAUGCACGAAAGCGUGGGGAGCAAACAGGAUUAGAUACCCCCGUAGUCCCUGUCUCUUAUAC
This 301-nucleotide ribosomal RNA is filed under the name uncultured bacterium. RNAcentral describes it as "partial 16S ribosomal RNA". It matches the Rfam family "Bacterial small subunit ribosomal RNA", at positions 509 to 807 of the family's 1533-position model. The record is from RNAcentral.